This 232-nucleotide unclassified non-coding RNA is filed under the name plant metagenome. RNAcentral's name for it is "partial contains small subunit ribosomal RNA, internal transcribed spacer 1, and 5.8S ribosomal RNA". The stretch from base 1 to 54 matches the Rfam family "Eukaryotic small subunit ribosomal RNA", at positions 1778 to 1831 of the family's 1831-position model. The record is from RNAcentral.
GGAAGUAAAAGUUGUAACAAGGUCUCCGUUGGUGAACCAGCGGAGGGAUCAUUACUGGAAUCGCAAGAUCCCACAACCCCUGUGAACCUACCGAAACGUUGCCUCGGCGGGCGCCCGGCCCCGCGCCGGGCGCUGAGCCCGCCGGCGGCCCCCUACUCUUGUCUCUGCAGCGUGGCAUCUCAGAGUCCCAGAAAACAAGUAAAAACUUUCAACAACGGAUCUCUUGGCUCUA